GUUCCCUUCUGCUGCCCUUCUGGGUGGAAGUGAUCAUAGGUUUGGAAAAUGCAGUCUUAUGAUCUUUGGAAGAGUCAUCAGGAAUACAUGGAGACGUGCUUCAUCAUGUUGUAUGUGUGAAGGAAACUAACAACCUACAAGGAGGGUCUAGAAGGAGAGCUAUCAGCAUUUUCUGAGGAGGCAUUGCCAGUACUGCCUGACGUUUCAUGCUGGAUUCUCCCACUGUUCUUUGGCUGGCUUCCCCCUUUGAACAUUCUGUAAACUUGUCUUCCAAAUAAAACUCCAUCAAUGGAGUUGGGAUGGAAAUGGUCGAAAGCAUCAAUUUCCUCGGAGCGAUGAUCACCAACAGUCUGUCCUGGUCCACCCACAUUGAUGCAGUGGUUGAGAAAGCACAACAACACCUCUACUUCCUCAGGAGGCUAAGGAAAUUCAGCACUUAUGUAAAUACCAAUUUUUGUAGAUACACCAUAGAAGGCAUUCUAUCUGGAUGUACCACUGCUUGGUAAUUGCUUUGCCCAGGAUCGUAAAAAAAAAACUACAGAAAUUUGUGAGCGCAGCCCAGUCCAUCACACAAACCAGCCUUCCACCAUUGACUCCAUCUACACUUCUUGCUGCUUGGCUUGCUGUGUUCUUACAGCCUCUUGCUUGUCUGCCUCAGGAAGGCAUCCAACAUCACCAAAAUUCCCUUCUGCCUCGGUUACAAUCUCUUCCAACCUCUUCCGUCAGGUAGAAGAUACAAAUCACACGUAGCAACAGAUCCAAGAAUAGCUUCUUUCCCCGCUGUUACCAGCUUUCUAAAUGGUCCUCUCAAGUUUUAAAUGCAAUGCUGAACUCACUUUCGGUGCACCCCUGCAGCACUAACAUUGUAUUCCUUGCUCUGUUCUA
This is a long non-coding RNA of Hemiscyllium ocellatum (epaulette shark), 885 nucleotides long. RefSeq lists it as uncharacterized. NCBI's taxonomy places the organism in Eukaryota, Metazoa, Chordata, Chondrichthyes, Orectolobiformes, Hemiscylliidae. The transcript has 3 exons. The record is from RefSeq and is a predicted model, not a curated record.